Molecule: long non-coding RNA, 281 nt
Organism: Catharus ustulatus (Swainson's thrush)
Lineage: Eukaryota; Metazoa; Chordata; Aves; Passeriformes; Turdidae
Exons: 4
Source: RefSeq, a predicted model, not a curated record
CCCAGGUGUGCCCAGGUGAGGUAGGGUGGGUGUUACCUACACCAGGUGAGUGCAGUCCUCGCCCCAGUCCGGCCGGUACUGCGCCCAGGUGAGCUCAGGUGUGCCCAGGUAACCCCAGGUGAGCCCAAUUAACACUCAGGUGACCCCACCUGACCCCAGGUGUGGUUAUAAAGGUGUUACCUACACCAGGUGAGUGCAGUCCUCGCCCCAGUCCGGCCGGUACUGAGCCCAGGUGAGCUCAGGUGUGCCCAGGUAAGGCUCAGAUCAGUACAGGUGAGCCC